CCUACGGGAGGCAGCAGUGGGGAAUUUUGGACAAUGGGCGAAAGCCUGAUCCAGCAAUGCCGCGUGAGUGAAGAAGGCCUUCGGGUUGUAAAGCUCUUUUGUCAGGGAAGAAACGGUGAGGGCUAAUAUCUCUUGCUAAUGACGGUACCUGAAGAAUAAGCACCGGCUAACUACGUGCCAGCAGCCGCGGUAAUACGUAGGGUGCAAGCGUUAAUCGGAAUUACUGGGCGUAAAGCGUGCGCAGGCGGUUUUUGUAAGUCUGAUGUGAAAUCCCCGGGCUCAACCUGGGAAUUGCAUUGGAGACUGCAAGGCUAGAAUCUGGCAGAGGGGGGUUAGAAUUCCACGUGUAGCAGUGAAACGCGUAGAUAUGUGGAGGAACACCGAUGGCGAAGGCAGCCCCCUGGGUCAAGAUUGACGCUCAUGCACGAAAGCGUGGGGAGCAAACAGGAUUAGAUACCCUGGUAGUCCACGCCCUAAACCGAUGUCUACUAGUUGUCGGGUCUUAAUUGACUUGGUAACGCAGCUAACGCGUGAAGUAGACCGCCUGGGGAGUACGGUCGCAAGAUUAAAACUCAAAGGAAUUGACGG
Molecule: ribosomal RNA, 588 nt
Filed under: uncultured bacterium
Lineage: Bacteria
Description: bacterial SSU rRNA
Rfam family: Bacterial small subunit ribosomal RNA
Source: RNAcentral